CCUACGGGUGACAGCAGUGAGGAAUCUUGGUCAAUGGACGAGAGUCUGAACCAGCCAAGUAGCGUGAAGGAUGACUGCCCUAUGGGUUGUAAACUUCUUUUAUAUGGGAAUAAAAUGUUACACGUAUGGGAUCUUGUUUCUACCAUAUUAAUAAGGAUAGGCUAACUCCGUUACAGGAGGCGCGGUAAUACGGAGGAUACGAGCGUUAGCCGGAUUGAUUGGGUUUAAAGGGAGCGUAGGUGGUUUGGUAAGUCAGGUGUGAAAGUUUUCGGCUCAACCGUAAGAUUGCAGUUGAAACUGGCAGUCUUGAGUACAGUAGAGGAGAGCGGAAUUCGUGGUGUAGCGGUGAAAUGCUUAGAUAUCACGAAGAACUCCGAUUGCGAAGGCAGCUCACUGGACUGCAACUGACACUGAGGCUCGAAAGUGUGGGUAUCAAACAGGAUUAGAUACCCCUGUAGUC
RNAcentral lists this ribosomal RNA (460 nucleotides) under uncultured bacterium. Its description in RNAcentral is "partial 16S ribosomal RNA". It matches the Rfam family "Bacterial small subunit ribosomal RNA", at positions 338 to 795 of the family's 1533-position model. The record is from RNAcentral.